AUUCCCCUCCGGGAUCCCGGCAAUUUCCCCGCGCCCGCAGCCCCGCGGGAUUCUCCCACGCGGAGUCCACAAGGUGCCUUUGGAAGCCCGUUGCUUGGGGUUUUCCGGCCCGGGUUAGCCCAAUUCCCCCGAGGAAUAGUUCCCGGCCUGUGGACAUCGGGGAGCCCUCCCCGUCUCUCACAACUCACGGAGUCGAGCGGGAGAGCGCCGCCGCCGGCUGCCGAUCUCCUCCGGGGACCUCGUGACGGCAGCGCCUCCUUCACCGGAGUCUCUACGGCAACCACAUCCUUCGCAUCAGAGCAUUUGCUGCAAACAGUGCAUAGAAGGUAGAAGUUAUUUCGUGACAGGAGUGGCACAAAUGCAGAUUGGCGAAAGUAGAUUAUGGUGUUGCUGGUGACUUUGGGAUCACAGAUAUUGGUGCUAGAGUUCUUCCUAGUGUCUUUUUUUUGUUCCAGAUUGAAAAUGGGCAAAUAAAUUUCUGGUCUCAUUUUAUUUUGUAUUAUCUAUCUCGAUAUUUGCAUGAACAUGACCAUAUGUAAGCCAUUCAUUUCAGUUGGCAGUAUAUCUUGCUAUUGUGAAGGCCACAUGAUCA
Long non-coding RNA from Panicum virgatum (switchgrass), 592 nucleotides. RefSeq lists it as uncharacterized. The transcript is spliced from 2 exons. NCBI's taxonomy places the organism in Eukaryota, Viridiplantae, Streptophyta, Magnoliopsida, Poales, Poaceae. The record is from RefSeq and is a predicted model, not a curated record.